Pongo abelii (Sumatran orangutan) is the source of this 148-nucleotide unclassified non-coding RNA. It matches the Rfam family "Metazoan signal recognition particle RNA". Rfam says of the family: The signal recognition particle (SRP) is a universally conserved ribonucleoprotein. NCBI's taxonomy places the organism in Eukaryota, Metazoa, Chordata, Mammalia, Primates, Hominidae. The record is from Ensembl.
GCUAGGCAUGGUGGUGCGUGCCUGUAGUCCCAGAUACUUAGGAGGCUGAGGCAGGAGGAUUGCUUGAGGCCAGGAGUUCCAGGCUGCAGUGAGCCGUGAUUGUGCCGCUGCACUCCAGCCUGGGCAACAGAGCAAGACCGUGUCUCAA